This 508-nucleotide ribosomal RNA is filed under the name uncultured bacterium. RNAcentral's name for it is "partial 16S ribosomal RNA". It matches the Rfam family "Bacterial small subunit ribosomal RNA", at positions 28 to 523 of the family's 1533-position model. The record is from RNAcentral.
GAUGAACGCUAGCUACAGGCUUAACACAUGCAAGUCGAGGGGAAACGACAUCGAAAGCUUGCUUUUGAUGGGCGUCGACCGGCGCACGGGUGAGUAACGCGUAUCCAACCUGCCCACCACUUGGGGAUAACCUUGCGAAAGUAAGACUAAUACCCAAUGACGUCUCUAGAAGACAUCUGAAAGAGAUUAAAGAUUUAUCGGUGAUGGAUGGGGAUGCGUCUGAUUAGCUUGUUGGCGGGGUAACGGCCCACCAAGGCGACGAUCAGUAGGGGUUCUGAGAGGAAGGUCCCCCACAUUGGAACUGAGACACGGUCCAAACUCCUACGGGAGGCAGCAGUGAGGAAUAUUGGUCAAUGGACGAGAGUCUGAACCAGCCAAGUAGCGUGCAGGAAGACGGCCCUAUGGGUUGUAAACUGCUUUUAUAAGGGAAUAAAGUGAGUCUCGUGAGACUUUUUGCAUGUACCUUAUGAAUAAGGACCGGCUAAUUCCGUGCCAGCAGCCGCAGUAA